Lates calcarifer (barramundi perch) is the source of this 1566-nucleotide long non-coding RNA. RefSeq lists it as uncharacterized. The record is from RefSeq and is a predicted model, not a curated record. The transcript has 3 exons. Lineage: Eukaryota; Metazoa; Chordata; Actinopteri; Centropomidae.
GAUUCAAGUUUGUGUCAAAGGAUCAGUCACCCUGAUAAGAACUGCAUUCUUUCAGUAACUCUAAAUGCUGAGUGAAUGAGCACGAUUACUAAAAGUCAGUGAAACUUUGGACAACCCUGUAAAUGACCCAGUUCAGCUUUAAUGCAGUGUCCCAUUUGCAGCUAACAGCUCUGCUUACAAGAUCAGACCCAUAAAAAGCUUCUGAUGUGCCGUCCUCCUGAGUUGCUUUAAGAAAGCAGGGGCAGCAGGGUUGUUAAGUACUGGCCUUGUAACACAUCAGAAGCAGCAUGAAGCAGGCAUUGCUUCCCCUCUCCUCCCAGUUCUCUUGAGUCUUGAUCUGACUCUCGGCUCUGUUCAGCCCUCUGCACUGGCGCUGAAUCUUGCUAAUCUUUCCAGGAGUUUCUAUUCAAUCUGCCAGCUGGACAAAGGGGCAGGAAGCAGCUUUUUCCCCCUCAGUGAGAGGCGGACUGAGAGGGGAAAGACAGAUUUGGACAGAGAGGAGGAAGAAAAGACAGAGGUAAAGUAGAAACAAAUACCAGAAGAGCAGUUUCUGGUGCCGUUCUCUCUCAGGGAGUGAUCAACUGACCGCAGAACAAGCAGAGCUGCUUCCUGGUGAGCCCAGAGCUCCGCAUGGGUAUGACAAGCACCUAUACACACACACUGUGUGGUCGCACUCAUUAUGACUUCCACACCAACAGAUUUAAUAUAUAAAACCAAAAACGACAACACUAUAUACCACAUCAGAGCAAAAAUCACAAAACCACAGCACAGCCAGUGGCACAGAGGCUGUUCAUCAUCUGUGCUGGCACAGUGGGGGUGCACACAGUAAAAACACAAGGUCCUCUGGCAAAAAAGUGGUGUACCUCAGCUUUUACUGAAACAUGAUGUGUCAUACAGCAAUAUGCUGCACUAGCCAAUGUGUUCAUUUUGGGGCCUAAUUUAGAUUCGGAUUUUGAAUUUUGGUGACUCUGGCUGUUGUGUUGUAUCAUCAGGUCUGUCGCCGUAUGUCUUGGACACUCGGGUGAAGAGAAGGACAGAACAACUGAUCACCAUCUGUAUAUCACAAUUGAUAUUAUAUCGCCCAUCCCUGGUGGGGAGUUGGAACAGAUGGCGGGGAAGGCUUCCAUACAGACCUGGCAAACCCAGAGUUGUGGAAAGAUCACUUUGAGGCGCUCCUGAACCGACCCACUCACCCUGCCACCCUGGCAGAGGUUGCUGAGGUAGUCAAGAAGACAAGUAUAAAGCUGCAGUGCAUCAACUCCUGGAGUAUUUUACAAAUUUGUCAACAACAAGCGACAAAGCCCCUUUGAAGUGAACUACAGCUGGGAUAAAUACACAAGGGGAAAAAGGGUGUUUUAAGGAGAAGAGAGGUGAGGGGAGGGAAGACUCGCAGAGAGAAAUAACAGGCUUUCCCCGAGGAGCAUGGAAAGAGGAAAUGGAGUCAACACCGCCAAAAUCCAUCAAACAAAUCAAAUCAUACAACAGAAAAGUAACAGAGACCAGCAAAUGAAGCCGAAUGGAGAAACAUAAAGCUAAGUAGAUGAAGACGAGGCAACACAAACAAAC